UUCUUGUUACUUUUCAGUCAGUUGUGACUUUUGACAUAAACUGUGGUAAGAGUGGAACAUACCAAUCAAGCAAUGGUGCUUGUGUCACGAGUACGCAAGGUUCAUCCCAGAGCAGUGGCAGCCAAUCCAAGGUUAUAGUGGUUAAACAAGGAGCCAGCAGUGGCAGUGGAUGUGUUGGGGUAAGUGCACUGUGUAGAGAUGAUGUUGGGCUUUGGUCCUGAAUAAACAGCACACCAUACUUUUUGUCAUCAAGUUAUAACAAAAAAUAGCAUAAAGAGAUGAUGUGACUUUGUUCUCAAGG
RNAcentral lists this long non-coding RNA (301 nucleotides) under Pogona vitticeps (central bearded dragon). RNAcentral's name for it is "lncRNA (ENSPVIG00000023494.1)". Lineage: Eukaryota; Metazoa; Chordata; Lepidosauria; Squamata; Agamidae. The record is from RNAcentral.